This 1439-nucleotide ribosomal RNA is filed under the name uncultured organism. RNAcentral describes it as "16S ribosomal RNA". It matches the Rfam family "Bacterial small subunit ribosomal RNA". The record is from RNAcentral.
AACGCUAGCUACAGGCUUAACACAUGCAAGUCGAGGGGUAGCAUGGUCUUAGCUUGCUAAGGCCGAUGGCGACCGGCGCACGGGUGAGUAACACGUAUCCAACCUGCCGUCUACUCUUGGACAGCCUUCUGAAAGGAAGAUUAAUACAAGAUGGCAUCAUGAGUCCACAUGUUCACAUGAUUAAAGGUAUUCCGGUAGACGAUGGGGAUGCGUUCCAUUAGAUAGUAGGCGGGGUAACGGCCCACCUAGUCUUCGAUGGAUAGGGGUUCUGAGAGGAAGGUCCCCCACAUUGGAACUGAGACACGGUCCAAACUCCUACGGGAGGCAGCAGUGAGGAAUAUUGGUCAAUGGGCGAGAGCCUGAACCAGCCAAGUAGCGUGAAGGAUGACUGCCCUAUGGGUUGUAAACUUCUUUUAUAAAGGAAUAAAGUCGGGUAUGCAUACCCGUUUGCAUGUACUUUAUGAAUAAGGAUCGGCUAACUCCGUGCCAGCAGCCGCGGUAAUACGGAGGAUCCGAGCGUUAUCCGGAUUUAUUGGGUUUAAAGGGAGCGUAGAUGGAUGUUUAAGUCAGUUGUGAAAGUUUGCGGCUCAACCGUAAAAUUGCAGUUGAUACUGGAUAUCUUGAGUGCAGUUGAGGCAGGCGGAAUUCGUGGUGUAGCGGUGAAAUGCUUAGAUAUCACGAAGAACUCCGAUUGCGAAGGCAGCCUGCUAAGCUGCAACUGACAUUGAGGCUCGAAAGUGUGGGUAUCAAACAGGAUUAGAUACCCUGGUAGUCCACACGGUAAACGAUGAAUACUCGCUGUUUGCGAUAUACAGCAAGCGGCCAAGCGAAAGCGUUAAGUAUUCCACCUGGGGAGUACGCCGGCAACGGUGAAACUCAAAGGAAUUGACGGGGGCCCGCACAAGCGGAGGAACAUGUGGUUUAAUUCGAUGAUACGCGAGGAACCUUACCCGGGCUUAAAUUGCAGAUGAAUUACGGUGAAAGCCGUAAGCCGCAAGGCAUCUGUGAAGGUGCUGCAUGGUUGUCGUCAGCUCGUGCCGUGAGGUGUCGGCUUAAGUGCCAUAACGAGCGCAACCCUUGUUGUCAGUUACUAACAGGUCAUGCUGAGGACUCUGACAAGACUGCCAUCGUAAGAUGUGAGGAAGGUGGGGAUGACGUCAAAUCAGCACGGCCCUUACGUCCGGGGCUACACACGUGUUACAAUGGGGGGUACAGAGGGCCGCUACCACGCGAGUGGAUGCCAAUCCCAAAAACCUCUCUCAGUUCGGACUGGAGUCUGCAACCCGACUCCACGAAGCUGGAUUCGCUAGUAAUCGCGCAUCAGCCACGGCGCGGUGAAUACGUUCCCGGGCCUUGUACACACCGCCCGUCAAGCCAUGGGAGCCGGGGGUACCUGAAGUGCGUAACCGCGAGGAGCGCCCUAGGGUAAAACUGGUGAC